AACGAACGCUGGCGGCAUGCCUAACACAUGCAAGUCGAACGAGACCUUCGGGUCUAGUGGCGCCCGGGUGCGUAACGCGUGGGAACCUGCCCUUAGGUUCGGAAUAACUCCCCGAAAGGGGUGCUAAUACCGGAUAAUGUCUUCGGACCAAAGAUUUAUCGCCUUUGGAUGGGCCCGCGUUGGAUUAGCUAGUUGGUAGGGUAAAAGCCUACCAAGGCGACGAUCCAUAGCUGGUCUGAGAGGAUGAUCAGCCACUCUGGGACUGAGACACGGCCCAGACUCCUCCGCGAGGCAGCAGUGGGGAAUAUUGGACCAUGGGCGAAAGCCUGAUCCAGCACUGCCGCGUGAGUGAUGAAGGCCUUAGGGUUGUAAAGCUCUUUUACCCGGGAUGAUAAUGACAGUACCGGGAGAAUAAGCUCCGGCUAACUCCGUG
RNAcentral lists this ribosomal RNA (433 nucleotides) under uncultured bacterium. RNAcentral's name for it is "partial 16S ribosomal RNA". It matches the Rfam family "Bacterial small subunit ribosomal RNA", at positions 29 to 507 of the family's 1533-position model. The record is from RNAcentral.